This 281-nucleotide ribosomal RNA is filed under the name uncultured bacterium. RNAcentral's name for it is "partial 16S ribosomal RNA". It matches the Rfam family "Bacterial small subunit ribosomal RNA", at positions 773 to 1060 of the family's 1533-position model. The record is from RNAcentral.
GUGGAUUAGAUCCCCUGGUAGUCCACGCCGUAAACGAUGAGUGCUAGGUGUUGGGGAGACUCAGUGCCGCAGCUAACGCAAUAAGCACUCCGCCUGGGGAGUACGACCGCAAGGUUGAAACUCAAAGGAAUUGACGGGGACCCGCACAAGCAGCGGAGCAUGUGGUUUAAUUCGAAGCAACGCGAAGAACCUUACCAGGUCUUGACAUCCUCUGACAAUCCGAGAGAUCGGACUUUCCCUUCGGGGACAGAGAGACAGGUGGUGCAUGGCCGUCGCCAACU